This 528-nucleotide long non-coding RNA is filed under the name Struthio camelus australis. RNAcentral describes it as "lncRNA (ENSSCUG00000007105.1)". Lineage: Eukaryota; Metazoa; Chordata; Aves; Struthioniformes; Struthionidae. The record is from RNAcentral.
GAAUAAAAUAUUUACUGCCAUUUCCCUUCUAGCCUAUUCUGUUUUUUGAAAAGACACAUGGAAACAGCUUCUCUAAUACAAAUGUAUUUGCUUUAGGUUUUCCCUCCCCCUCAUCCUUUCUACCAAAAGAACUGGAGAGCUGUGGUCAAUGGCAUCACUGAAGGACGCACAGGCUGAGAGACAGUUAACUGAACACAGCGAGUGGAAAACUCCAGCCUGGAUUACCAAGCGCUUGCAAAGCAAAGCUUCUUUACGUUGUUAAUGCUGAUUUGGAUCAUAAACAAAAGUGAGUGUGACAAGUCCUCCAAGAAGAACUUCUGGAUCAUGGUGAGCUGGUGUCAUCUGGGAGCUGUGACUCCUGCAGGCUCCAGGGGUGACCAGCCGUUCAGCUGCAAGAGAACAUGUCAGAAUCCAGCAGAGACACCCAGGAAUGUAAGAUUUAAAGGAAAAGAAAAACAAACCCAAACAAGACAAGUCUUCAUGUGGUCCUGGCUCGGCUUUUAUUCACAACAAUGGAGGUGCAAGUGA